RNAcentral lists this long non-coding RNA (596 nucleotides) under Bos taurus (domestic cattle). Its description in RNAcentral is "long non-coding RNA NONBTAT019496". Lineage: Eukaryota; Metazoa; Chordata; Mammalia; Artiodactyla; Bovidae. The record is from RNAcentral.
GUUAUUUUGAAGAAGUUUGGGGCACGGAAGCCCUAGUUUCUUUUCUAUCCUUGAAACUUCCUGUAGGAAUUGUUCUCUGCAUUUCAGUUGAUGAGCUCAGUUCAUGAAAAUCUAGGGGGCUUGCUGUUGGAUCCUCGCCCUUCCACGUUUGCUGCUGUUGAUAAACUCAGGAAACUUCCACUGUCAGAGUGGAGUCAGAGGAGACAGAGUGACCCUGGGCUUCCUGUGCAGAGAGGCUUCCUGCAUGGUUGAGGUCUGACCACCCGGUAACAGUAGUGCUGCUCGUCCAUGUGGGCCGACAGUGGAAGAGAAGCCAUGUGUAGUUGGAUGGAGACACCCCAGAUCUUUCUGUGAAGUGAAGGAGUUGAACUUGCUCCUCCCUGGGAUGACUUCUUUUCAUGCUUUAGUCUCCCCUAAACUGUCAUUCUGUCAUUUGGUGGGCAGUCCCUGCCUCAUUUGGCAUGGGUUUUGCAGGUCUCCAGGCUAUGGUUUGCUGAGCUCAUUUGAUGUGACAGGCUUGAUGAGUCUUAUGUAGUUCAAGUAAGGUGAGCACAGGAUGUUGUUAAAACUCUUUAAGUUCUGGUACUCUGUCUCUG